This 257-nucleotide ribosomal RNA is filed under the name uncultured Oscillospiraceae bacterium. Its description in RNAcentral is "partial 16S ribosomal RNA". It matches the Rfam family "Bacterial small subunit ribosomal RNA", at positions 84 to 339 of the family's 1533-position model. Lineage: Bacteria; Bacillati; Bacillota; Clostridia; Eubacteriales; Oscillospiraceae. The record is from RNAcentral.
AUGGAUGGCGACCGGCGCACGGGUGAGUAACGCGUGAGGAACCUGCCUUGGAGAGGGGAAUAACACAGAGAAAUUUGUGCUAAUACCGCAUAAUGCAGUUGGGUCGCAUGGCUCUGACUGCCAAAGAUUUUAUCGCUCUGAGAUGGCCUCGCGUCUGAUUAGCUAGUUGGUGGGGCAACGGCCCACCAAGGCGACGAUCAGUAGCCGGACUGAGAGGUUGACCGGCCACAUUGGGACUGAGACACGGCCCAGACUCC